RNAcentral lists this ribosomal RNA (253 nucleotides) under uncultured bacterium. Its description in RNAcentral is "partial 16S ribosomal RNA". It matches the Rfam family "Bacterial small subunit ribosomal RNA", at positions 524 to 776 of the family's 1533-position model. The record is from RNAcentral.
UACGGAGGGAGCUAGCGUUGUUCGGAAUUACUGGGCGUAAAGCGCGCGUAGGCGGCUUUGUAAGUUAGAGGUGAAAGCCCGGGGCUCAACUCCGGAAUUGCCUUUAAGACUGCAUCGCUUGAAUCCGGGAGAGGUGAGUGGAAUUCCGAGUGUAGAGGUGAAAUUCGUAGAUAUUCGGAAGAACACCAGUGGCGAAGGCGGCUCACUGGACCGGUAUUGACGCUGAGGCGCGAAGGCUAGGGGAGCGAACGGG